Molecule: ribosomal RNA, 320 nt
Filed under: uncultured eukaryote
Lineage: Eukaryota
Description: partial 18S ribosomal RNA
Rfam family: Eukaryotic small subunit ribosomal RNA
Source: RNAcentral
CCCCUAGAUGUUCUGGGCCGCACGCGCGCUACACUGAACAGUUCAACAAGUCUUAACCUUGGCCGAUAGGUCUGGGUAAUCUUUGAACGCAGUUCGUGAUUGGGAUAGACCUUUGCAAUUAUGGGUCUUCAACGAGGAAUUCCUAGUAAACGCAAGUCAUCAGCUUGCAUUGAUUACGUCCCUGCCCUUUGUACACACCGCCCGUCGCACCUACCGAUUGAAUGGUCCGGUGAAAUCUCGGGACGGCGGCUUGGUCGCUUGCGUCCGACUGCUGAAACUUGAUUAAACCAUAUCAUUUAGAGGAAGGUGAAGUCGUANCA